Molecule: ribosomal RNA, 666 nt
Filed under: Prorocentrum caipirignum
Lineage: Eukaryota; Dinophyceae; Prorocentrales; Prorocentraceae
Description: eukaryotic LSU rRNA
Rfam family: Eukaryotic large subunit ribosomal RNA
Source: RNAcentral
UUAGUAGGCGGCGGAAGAUAACCCAAAAGGGAUUCCUUCAGUAAUGGCGAAUGAACGGGGAAAAGCUCAGCAAAGAAAUCAGGGACCCCGUCCUUGAGUUGUGGACUUGAGAGGUAUUGCCAAUGGUGGCGCAGGUGCGGGCCUCUUGGAAAAGGGCACCACAGAGGGUGUGAGUCCUGUUUGUCAUCUGUAGUCCGCCAUGUACGGCAUGCCUCCUCAGAGUCACGUUCCUUGGAAUUGGAGCGCGAAGGUGGUGGUGGCUUUCAUCUCAAGCUAAAUAUGGGUUCGAGACCGAUAGCAAACAAGUACCAUGAGGGAAAAUUGAAAAGAGCUUUGGAAAGAGAGUUAAAAGUGCCCGAACUUGCUGAUAGGGAAGCGAAGGGAGCUGACGUUGCUUGGUGACAUUUUCCGCGCAAGAGUAGGAUGGGUUCUGAUUGCAAUGUGCGUAGUGCUUCUUGCCGUGCGUGUCGAUGCCAAGCAACGAGUGGGGAGAGCACCAGGGAUAUGAUUGUUCUGUCCCCGGGUGGACGAAGGUGCCUGGUCGCAUCCAUUUGUGGGCUGAAACAAGUGGUGGCUGGUUGCAGCGCUCCAUAACUGCCAGGCAGUUGGGGUGCAGCCCUGAUACGCAGACGAGGACAAAGUGCUUCUGUUCGACCCGUCUUGAAA